CGAUACAGUCGUUGGACAAUAUUACAUAAAUAUGAUAACCGAAUCUUCCCCUUUGGUUGGCUUUUAGAAGAACUAGCGACGUCCACGGUUCCCGCGCCUACGAUUUCCGCGUCCACGGUUACCUUUUCACCGAGUAUUAGAGGACGCUUGUAUCUCCUUAGCUUUGAUGGACGGCUUAACCGGUCUUUCGCACAAAAGUCGUUGUCCAGAAAGAGUC
Molecule: long non-coding RNA, 217 nt
Filed under: Arabidopsis lyrata
Lineage: Eukaryota; Viridiplantae; Streptophyta; Magnoliopsida; Brassicales; Brassicaceae
Description: long non-coding RNA (ALYR_LNC003446)
Source: RNAcentral